GGGUCAUUAGUAUAGUGGUAGUAUGCCUGCUUCGGGAUAUUUAAGGCCCACGGUGGUUACAAUCGUAAAUGUAGGCGACCCCGGAUCAAACCCGGGAUGACCCC
This 104-nucleotide transfer RNA is filed under the name Nadsonia fulvescens var. elongata DSM 6958. It matches the Rfam family "tRNA". From Rfam's summary of the family: Transfer RNA (tRNA) molecules are approximately 80 nucleotides in length. Their secondary structure includes four short double-helical elements and three loops (D, anti-codon, and T loops). The record is from Rfam by way of RNAcentral. Lineage: Eukaryota; Fungi; Ascomycota; Dipodascomycetes; Dipodascales.